Non-coding RNA from Mus caroli (Ryukyu mouse), 407 nucleotides. NCBI's taxonomy places the organism in Eukaryota, Metazoa, Chordata, Mammalia, Rodentia, Muridae. The record is from RefSeq and is a predicted model, not a curated record.
CCUUACAGCCUGUUUAAGAAAUCGUACAGCUCACCUCCAGCAAGAGCAGGUGGCAGAAAUGCAUCGAUAUGAAGAAGCAUUUUAAAGUCCUUCCUGCUUGCAGUACAUUGCUCCAGUCAAGCUUUCCGGAGCCCUGUGAUCCCCAGACUCACAGGAGCUAGAAACCCAAGAAGGCAGAGGCUGGACAGAAUUCAACCUGCAAAGGAGGCUUAAAGUACAAGAUGGCAGAGACAAGCAUUGCUGAACACCCAGUCUUCCAAACAGUGUGACCUUUGAUCCUUGCACUUCCAAAAAUAGUGUAGAAGGCACAGCUUUGCUUUGCAUCAUAAGAGCACUCCAGUCUCCUGUGGAGGCCAAGGACUGGUUCAAGUGUUCAGACCACACCAGUCCCUAUCGAAAAAUACAAA